Molecule: ribosomal RNA, 400 nt
Filed under: Camaenidae sp. WT5
Lineage: Eukaryota; Metazoa; Mollusca; Gastropoda; Stylommatophora; Camaenidae
Description: partial 16S ribosomal RNA
Rfam family: Archaeal large subunit ribosomal RNA
Source: RNAcentral
CAAAAACAUAGCUGUAUGAGACUUAUAUAUAGUUUUUUCUGCUCAAUGAGAUAUUCAAUAGCCGCAGUACCCUGACUGUGCAAAGGUAGCAAAAUCAAUUGUCUUCUAAUUAAAGUCGCGUAUGAAUGAAUGCAUGGGGGCGAGCUAUACCACGUAUACAACAUAAAUUUACUAAGUGAGUGUAAAUUCUCAUGAGAUUAAAAUAGACGAGAAGACCCUAGAAAUUUUUAAAUUUUUUUGUUGGGGCAACAUAGUAGCAAUUAAACCUACGUUAAUGUAUUUGAAAUAUUUCUUGAUAAAUUAAAUUACUCUAGGGAUAACAGCAUAAUAUUAAAAUGUUUGUGACCUCGAUGUUGGAUUAGGAAGUUGUGGCUUAGAAGGUCCUCAAUCGUGCUCUGUU